GAAUGAACAAAUUUUCCCUGACAUUUUCCGGUUUUCCAUGUCUUUUUAAAAUUCCCUGAAAUUUCCCGGUUUUCCCUGACUGUGGCAACCCUGAUUUGUUUGUUCAAUUUUUCUGGUCCUGUCUUUGACUAAGAACCGUGACUGUGAGGAUACUUACAGAAUCUGGCCUUGGCAGUGUGUGGCAGUGUUGGUUCACUAGCCUCACCCGGACCGGCUUUGUUGACGGCACGAACACGGAAUUGGUAAACUUCUCCUUCAUUCAAGCCAGUAACUUUUCCUUUGCAGUCUCCGCCAUAAACCUCGGCAACCUUGGUGAAGUUUGGAGAGUAUUUUGAUUUCAUUUCAAUAAUGUAACCUAAAGAAAAUGAUAAAGAAGAAAAUAUUGGAGAGGAGUAGUAGUCAGAGCUAGUACUAUGAAAUUUAUCCAAGAUUGUCCAGUAUACUGCUGUGCUAAGAGAAAACUCUGUAUGAACCUUCAGAUGGUUCCAACACUUCGUUUCGGAAGAUCCAGCGAACAACUGGAGGAGGUUCACCCUUAAUGUCAACGUCAAAUUUAACUGUCUGUCCAGCUCGGACAGUAACCUUUUGAAGCUUCUCACGGUUGAUCCAGGGUUUGCCUUUGAAGGAAAAAAAUUAAAUAUAUUCAAACUCGUAUUUUAUCCUAGAAAAGUCCUGAUGUUUUUUUAUUCUGUCCAGUGAUUAUUCAAGUCCUGAUACUUUGUUGGUUUAUUGCUAAAAAAAAUUGAUUUUUUCCUUUAACAAAUAUCAACAAAAUUUCCCUCCACUUUUGC
Molecule: long non-coding RNA, 791 nt
Filed under: Bemisia tabaci
Lineage: Eukaryota; Metazoa; Arthropoda; Insecta; Hemiptera; Aleyrodidae
Description: lncRNA ENSSSA2NGG004020
Source: RNAcentral